CAAGCUAAUAAAUGACACGCAUCCUGAAACUACAAAUGUGGAUCAGGUCACACAAAAUUUGCAAAGGCCCAAUAUAGACAAGUUUAUUUUUAGACCUGUACCUGUUAGUGUCAUUAAAAAACAUCUUAAUAAUCUAAAAAUGAAAAACCAGUCCGGACCUGAUCAAAUCCCAGCAAUGCUGUUGAAGCUCAGUGCGCCGGCAAUUGCUAAACCCGUCUCAACUCUAAUUAAUGAAUCCUUGGUGUCUGG
RNAcentral lists this long non-coding RNA (249 nucleotides) under Pelobates cultripes (western spadefoot toad). The record is from RNAcentral. Lineage: Eukaryota; Metazoa; Chordata; Amphibia; Anura; Pelobatidae.